AUAGUGGCGGACGGGUGAGGAAUACGUAGGGAUCUGCCUUUAAGUGGGGGAUAACCCGGGGAAACCCGGAUUAAUACCGCAUGAUCUCGCAAGAGCAAAGUGGGGGAUCGCAAGACCUCACGCUUUUAGAGGAACCUACGUCGGAUUAGCUUGUUGGUGAGGUAAUGGCUCACCAAGGCGACGAUCCGUAACUGGUCUGAGAGGAUGAUCAGUCACACCGGAACUGAGACACGGUCCGGACUCCUACGGGAGGCAGCAGUGGGGAAUAUUGGACAAUGGGCGAAAGCCUGAUCCAGCAAUACCGCGUGUGUGAAGAAGGCCUUCGGGUUGUAAAGCACUUUAAGUUGGGAAGAAAAAACUUCGUCUAAUACAUGAAGUCUUGACGGUACCGACAGAAUAAGCACCGGCUAACUCUGUGCCAGCAGCCGCGGUAAUACAGAGGGUGCUAGCGUUAAUCGGAUUUACUGGGCGUAAAGCGUGCGUAGGCGGUUUGAUAAGUCGGUUGUGAAAGCCCCGGGCUCAACCUGGGAAUUGCGGCCGAUACUGUCAGACUAGAAAACGGUAGAGGGAGGCGGAACUCCAGGUGUAGCGGUGAAAUGCGUAGAUAUCUGGAAGAACACCGAUGGCGAAGGCAACCUCCUGGGCCUGUUUUGACGCUGAGGCACGAAAGCGUGGGUAGCAAACAGGAUUAGAUACCCUGGUAGUCCACGCCGUAAACGAUGAGAACUUGACGUUGGUUUGCUUAGCAAAUCGGUGUCGUAGCUAACGCGAUAAGUUCUCCGCCUGGGGAGUACGGCCGCAAGGUUGAAACUCAAAGGAAUUGACGGGGGCCCGCACAAGCGGUGGAGUAUGUGGUUUAAUUCGAUGCAACGCGAAGAACCUUACCUGGUCUUGACAUGUCAAGAAGUCUGCAGAGAUGCGGAUGUGCCUUCGGGAACUUGAACACAGGUGCUGCAUGGCUGUCGUCAGCUCGUGUCGUGAGAUGUUGGGUUAAGUCCCGCAACGAGCGCAACCCUUGCCCUUAGUUGCCAUCAUUCAGUUGGGCACUCUAAGGGGACCCCGGUGACAACCGGRGGAAGGUGGGGAUGACGUCAGUCAUCAUGGCCCUAWGACCGGGCUAMMMCGUACUWWAUGGUCGGUAC
RNAcentral lists this ribosomal RNA (1142 nucleotides) under Nevskia ramosa. RNAcentral's name for it is "bacterial SSU rRNA". It matches the Rfam family "Bacterial small subunit ribosomal RNA", at positions 92 to 1240 of the family's 1533-position model. Lineage: Bacteria; Pseudomonadati; Pseudomonadota; Gammaproteobacteria; Nevskiales; Nevskiaceae. The record is from RNAcentral.